Monodelphis domestica (gray short-tailed opossum) is the source of this 4119-nucleotide non-coding RNA. The record is from the annotation of a RefSeq genome assembly. Lineage: Eukaryota; Metazoa; Chordata; Mammalia; Didelphimorphia; Didelphidae.
GUCCGCGGCUCGCCCGGUGGGGCAGCUGCUAGAGGGCAGGAGCGCUCCCUCCCUCCGCGCUUGCACCCUCAGUGCCCGGCCGGUAGUAGCAGCGUCCCCCGCCUUUAGCUCUGGGACGCCGCACAAGCGGAGCCCCCAGACAGCACCUGCGCGCAGCCGCCCUGCGGGCUCUGUCAAGAUUCGCCGCCCCCAGCCGCCAGCCCCGCCCCCCGCCCCCUGCCCCACCGCAGAUAAAGAUGAAGCGAUUCCCCGAACGGAGCAGAGGUCCGGCCCACGGCGGCUCCCCAGCCAGCCCCAGCUUCCCCAAGGCCUUCUGCUUGUUCCCUCUCUCCCGAAGGCCGAGAUGUCCGGCUCCCUCGUCCCGGUUCUCCUCUUCGCCGCCGCUCUAGUUCCUGCUGGCCGGACGGCCGUCGCCCUGGAGCAGAGGCCCAUCUCCAUCACCCGAAAUGCCAAGCAGUCCGCCAGUCUGAACUGCAAGAUUCUGAACCCCGUCUCCGAUUACGUCCACUGGUACCGCUCCCAGGAGGGCAGGGCCCCCGAGCGGCUGCUCGUCUACUCCAGGAGCAAGUCCGAGUCCGUCCCGGACCCAGGAUUCAGCGCGGACAAAGUGCGGGCUUACAAAGGGAAGGACGACACCUGUAGACUGAUAGUGAGUGACCUGCAGGUGAGCGACUCUGGGGUGUAUCACUGCGCCAGCUGGGACGGACCACAGCGGCACGCGCGGCGCAGCCCCCCAGCAUAAAAUCUCCUCCGCGAUAGCUGGCGCUUCCAGCCAAGCCCCCAAGUCAGUAAAGGCUGGGCCCCCGGAGCCUUCACUGCACUUCAAGCCCCAGGACAAGCCCGGGAACGUUGGCCAAAUGCUGGAGAGCUGGCGUCCCCGAGAUUGGUGGAACCCACUCCUUCCUCCGCUUACACUCUGCAUGGCACUGCCUUUGAAUUCAAAGCACUUGGGUUCAAAUCCAGCCCUAAUGUGUACUCCUUGUGGAGGAGGGAGCAUCCAGGUAGUACAGUGGAUGGAGGGCUGGGUCUGCAGUCUGAGAGACCCAGACUCAACUCUGACUAGCAAGUCACUUAACCUGUGUUUGCCUCAGUUUCCUCAAAAUGAGAAUAUGAAUAGCACCACUCUCCCAUGGUUGUUGUCAGGAUCAAAUGAGUUAAUAAUAAUAAAGUGCUUAGCAUUGUGCCUGGUACCUAAGUACUUAAUGAAUGGUAAUUUAAAGAAAUUUUUAACUUACCAGCUGUGUGACCCUGAAUAAGUCACUAAACCCCCAAUGCCUAGUCCUCACUACUCUUCUGACUUGGAACCAAUACACAGUAUUGAUUUUAAGAUAAAGGUCAAGGUUAAACAAAAUACAAAUAAAAUUUUAUUUUCUCACAAUUACAUGUACAAGAAAAGUUUAAUAUUCAUUUCAUAAAAAAUUUGAGUCCCAAAUUCUCUCUUUGUCCCACCUUCCUUCCCACCUCUCCCCACUCCUUGAGAUGGUAAGUAAUCUAAUGAAGACUUUACAUAUGUAAUCAUGUAAAAUGAUAAAUGUCCAUUAUUAUUCAUCACUUAAACUCUGGACUCUGUUUCCCCAUCUAUAAAAUAGGGAGGUUGUAUGAAAUGACCAGUGGGGUUCUUUCUUGAUCUAGAUCUUUACUUUUCAAGCCUCUACAUUCCUCAACCUCCCUGAGCCUCAUGAGGUUUCCUCAUAUGUAAAAAGAGGGAGUUGGACUAGAAAAAAUAAUAGCUAAUAUUUAUAUCAUGUUUCAAAUACAUUAUUUUAUUUCAUACUCAUAAUAUCCCUGGGAGGUUUGUGCUAUAAUGAUGCUCAUUCUGUCUGGGGUGGACAUAAGUUAAUGACUUACCCAGGGUCACUGUACUUGUAAGUAUUUGAAGCAGGACUUUGACUCGAGUCUUCCUGACUUCAAAUCUAGCUAUCCCAGAUGACCUCUGCAGUGCCUCCCAACUCUCAGUCUCAAAUCCUGUGAUUUUGAACUUCUCCAAAGAGGAGGUCAAGGAAAGGCUCUUAUCCUAGAUAUCUUUUACUGCAUCGUCCCUCCCUGGUUAGGUCUAGUACUCAAAAGUAGAUUGUUUAUAACCCACCACAAGAGAGAUUGCUUGACUCUGGUGAGUGGUCUGUGGGCACUAGAAGUUGGAGAUGGAAAUCACUUGUGCAGAGAGAGGCCUUUUUCUCUCAUUUCCCCACUAAAACUUACAGUUUCUCAUACCCUCCAUUGCCUCCUUCAUUUCCUGAAUUCCUACCCAUCUUUUGAAGCCCAGCUCACAUACUACCUGCUCCAUCAAGUCCCCCCAAUCUCUUCUGUAGAUAACAAUCUUCCCCUUGAACCUUACAUGGUAAAUGGCUCUGCACCUCUCAAAUUCACUUGGUAAAUUAUGUGAUAUAAGUGGAGUGCCUAUGCAUGAGUGCUAUGAAAGAAGGUAUAACAGGGACAGCAAGUUUUGAAGAUGUCCAUGGGGCAACAUGGGGGAGCUGGGCUAGGAAUAUGGAGGACUUGGAAGAAUCUGGAGAGACAGAUACAGAGACACAAAGAUACAGACAUACAUAUGUAAGGAGAGAAAGAGACAAGACAUACAGAGAGAGAGACAGAGACAGAGAAGGAGGGAGGGAGGGAGAGACAGAGACAGAGACAGAGAGAGACUGAAAGAGACAGAGAGAGAGAGAGAGCAUUUAUUGUUUAUUAUAUUAAAUGCUGAAGCCACAGAAGUAGAAAGAGCAAAUCCCUUCUUAUUGCUGGAUCCAGUUUCUCACUUAAUGCUGCCCAAGGUCAAAUUGCUUUCCUUGGCUACCAUGUUAAUUCAUAUUCAGUGGACUUUAGUACAUUAAAAAUCUCCAACCUUUUCCAGACAAGGUGCUUUCUGGCUGUCUCUCUUAUACCUGUAGAGCUGAUUGUUUAUGCCCAAGUAUAACAAUUUGUUUAUCUCAUCCAGAUUCAUUUUAUUUUAUUCAGCCUUAUAUAUUAACUUCACAAGAGGUUACUGAAUCUUGAUCUUGUUCACCAAUAUGUUGGCUCUCCCUCCAAGCUUGGUGUCAUCUUCAAAUUUAAUUAACAUGCCAUUUAUGCCUUUAUAUACUAUGGGUAAAAAUCUUAAACAGCACCAAUCAUUACACAAAGGCCUGGGGGACUCCACUGAUGACAUCCUUCCCAGAAACAAUUUGUGGCUGGCCAUUGUGGAGAUAAUUUUAGGGUUGUGACUUAAAAUCUAAAUUAAUUAGUCUCCAGGGAAAAUCCCAAAUAAAAUACCCAGGUCAGUCUGGAAAUUUAUGGUAAUUUUAAUUAAUGUAGAGGGAAGGAUUUAAGGAGAAAGAGGGAAGAGGGUGUAGGAUUUCUCCUGCCUGACCUGUGCCAAGGGAAGUUCAAGAUCUCUGCCGCUAGGUCUCUGAAGGAGAUUAGAGGUUUCUAAGAGGAUAAAGUUUGGAAAGUAAAGGAGGAAAAACUCAAUCAGAAACAAACCACCAAACCGGACAAUAGCUGUAGCCACGCCAAGAUGUUCAUUCUUUCUGGGGUGGACAUAAGAUAAGUGAGUUACCCAGGAUCAUUGUACUUGUAAGUAUCUGAAGCAGGAUUUGAACCUGAGUCUUCUUGACUUCAAAUCUAGCUAUCCCAAAUGACCUCUGCAGUGCCUUCCAACUCUCAGUCUCAAAUCCUGUGAUUUUGAACUUCUCCAAAGAGGAGGACAAGGAAAAGACUUUUAUCCUAGAUGUCUUUUUCUACAUUUUUCCUCCCUGGUUAGAUCUAGUGCUCAAAAGUAGAUUGUUUAUCACCCACCACAAGAGAGAUUGCUUGACUCUGGUGAGUGGUCUGUGGGCUCUGGAAGUUGGAGAUGGAAAUCAUUUGUGCAGAGAGAGGCCCUUUUCUCUCAUUUCCCCACUAAAAAUUAUAGCUCCUUAUAUGCUCCCUUGCCUCCUUCAUUUCCUGAAUUCCUACCCAUCUUUUGAAGCCUAGCUCACAUACCACCUCCUCCAUCAAGUCCCCUCAGUCUCUUCUGUAGUUAACAAUCUUAUCCUUGAACCUUACAUGGUAAAUUGCUCUGCACCUCAAAAAUUCACUUGGUAAAUUAUGUGAUAAGUUAGUCAUAUGUGUAUAGUUGACAAUAAAUCUGUGUCACUGUAACAA